Molecule: ribosomal RNA, 492 nt
Filed under: uncultured bacterium
Lineage: Bacteria
Description: partial 16S ribosomal RNA
Rfam family: Bacterial small subunit ribosomal RNA
Source: RNAcentral
AGUGAACGCUGGCGGUAGGCCUAACACAUGCAAGUCGAACGGCAGCACAGUAAGAGCUUGCUCUUACGGGUGGCGAGUGGCGGACGGGUGAGGAAUACAUCGGAAUCUACUUUUUCGUGGGGGAUAACGUAGGGAAACUUACGCUAAUACCGCAUACGACCUACGGGUGAAAGCAGGGGAUCUUCGGACCUUGCGCGAGUGAAUGAGCCGAUGUCGGAUUAGCUAGUUGGCGGGGUAAAGGCCCACCAAGGCGACGAUCCGUAGCUGGUCUGAGAGGAUGGUCGGCCACACUGGAACUGAGACACGGUCCAGACUCCUACGGGAGGCAGCAGUGGGGAAUAUUGGACAAUGGGCGCAAGCCUGCUCCAGCCAUACCGCGUGGGUGAAGAAGGCCUUCGGGUUGUAAAGCCCUUUUGUUGGGAAAGAAAAGCAGCAGGUUAAUACCCCGCUGUUCUGACGGUACCCAAAGAAUAAGCACCGGCUAACUUCGUG